RNAcentral lists this ribosomal RNA (508 nucleotides) under uncultured bacterium. Its description in RNAcentral is "partial 16S ribosomal RNA". It matches the Rfam family "Bacterial small subunit ribosomal RNA", at positions 30 to 523 of the family's 1533-position model. The record is from RNAcentral.
AUUGAACGCUGGCGGCAUGCCUUACACAUGCAAGUCGAACGGCAGCGGGGGAGAAGCUUGCUUUUCCUGCCGGCGAGUGGCGAACGGGUGAGUAAUACAUCGGAACGUGCCCUGUAGUGGGGGAUAACUAGUCGAAAGAUUAGCUAAUACCGCAUACGACCUCAGGGUGAAAGUGGGGGACCGCAAGGCCCCAUGCUCUAGGAGCGGCCGAUGUCUGAUUAGCUAGUUGGUGGGGUAAAGGCCUACCUAGGCGACGAUCAGUAGCUGGUCUGAGAGGACGAUCAGCCACACUGGGACUGAGACACGGCCCAGACUCCUACGGGAGGCAGCAGUGGGGAAUUUUGGACAAUGGGCGAAAGCCUGAUCCAGCAAUGCCGCGUGUGUGAAGAAGGCCUUCGGGUUGUAAAGCACUUUUGUCCGGAAAGAAAUGACUCUGGUUAAUACCUGGGGUCGAUGACGGUACCGGAAGAAUAAGGACCGGCUAACUACGUGCCAGCCGCCGCAGUAA